RNAcentral lists this long non-coding RNA (199 nucleotides) under Elaeis guineensis (African oil palm). Its description in RNAcentral is "long non-coding RNA (EGUI_LNC044777)". Lineage: Eukaryota; Viridiplantae; Streptophyta; Magnoliopsida; Arecales; Arecaceae. The record is from RNAcentral.
GCAUCCAGCUUAUGUUCAAUAUUUUUCAUAUAAGCUAGGCAACCCUAAAUCUUAAGAUACUUAAGUUUGGAUCUUUUCUUUUCCAUAUUGAAUGCUAGAAAUAGAUUUUGAAGAUACUUUAUUUAAAAUAUAUGCUGCAACCUCGAAGAAGUAUCCCCAAAAGGAUAACAGAAGAUCCAUGAAACACAUCAUGGACCAC